This 465-nucleotide ribosomal RNA is filed under the name uncultured bacterium. RNAcentral describes it as "partial 16S ribosomal RNA". It matches the Rfam family "Bacterial small subunit ribosomal RNA", at positions 28 to 507 of the family's 1533-position model. The record is from RNAcentral.
GACGAACGCUGGCGGCGUGCUUAACACAUGCAAGUCGAACGGAAAGGCCCUGCUUGCAGGGUACUCGAGUGGCGAACGGGUGAGUAACACGUGGGUGAUCUGCCCUGCACUUCGGGAUAAGCCUGGGAAACUGGGUCUAAUACCGGAUAGGAGCCAUUUUUAGUGUGAUGGUUGGAAAGUUUUUUCGGUGUAGGAUGAGCUCGCGGCCUAUCAGCUUGUUGGUGUGGUAAUGGCCUACCAAGGCGGCGACGGGUAGCCGGCCUGAGAGGGUGGACGGCCACAUUGGGACUGAGAUACGGCCCAGACUCCUACGGGAGGCAGCAGUGGGGAAUAUUGCACAAUGGGCGCAAGCCUGAUGCAGCGACGCCGCGUGGGGGAUGACGGACUUCGGGUUGUAAACUCCUUUCGCUAGGGACGAAGCUUUUUGUGACGGUACCUAGAUAAGAAGCACCGGCUAACUACGUG